AUGUGCUCUGUGCUUCUUAUUGCAGUUGUUGGAUCUUUUGCUGAUUCAAAUGUUCGAGCUGAUAUUUUGCAUUAUUUACGGUGCCAACCAAAGCCUGGAUCCAACAACAGUUCACCUUUCAAGCUCUCAGUGUCUUUGAUGGGUCACACUAAAGCAGUCAAUUGUGUGGAUUGGUCACCGAGCCAUGGACAUCUUCUUGCUUCUGCUGGAAUGGAUCAUACAGUCCGCGUAUGGAACGUUUGGAACAGAGGGGAUACUACUGCUCGAGUUUUAAAACAUCAUACUGCUGCUGUAAAGGAUGUGAAGUGGUCCCAUCAUCGGCCCUUCUUACUUUCUGGCGGGUUUGAUUGUUCCUCACGACUAGUUGACGCUGAGGAGGGAAAAGAAAUCAGGGUAUUCAAGGAGGAUCAACCAGUGGAGGUCGUCAAGUUCAAUCCAAGCAACUCAAAUCUCUUCCUGUCUGGUGGGUCCAAGGGUUCUCUUAGACUCUGGGAUAUUCGAACUGGCUUAGCAACUAAAGAGUUCAACAGAAGUCUUGGCACCAUCCUUGAUCUUGAAUUCAGUGCUGAUGGGAAGCAGUUUAUCUCUUCAACUGACACAACCAGAAGCAAUGUUAGUGAGAACACUAUAAUAGUAUGGGAUACAUUACGAGAAGUUCCUCUAUCUAACCAGGUUUAUACAGAAGCAUUCACCUGUCCCUGUGUGAGAUACCACCCAUACGAAGCUUCUUUUGUCGCGCAAUCCAACGGCAACUACAUUGCGAUUUUCUCAGCAAGGCCGCCAUUCAAGCUAAACAGGUAUAGGCGGUUUGAAGGACAUGGAGUGUGGGGCUUCCCGAUAAAGUGCAGUUUUUCCUUGAGCGGGAGGGAACUUGCGUCCGGUUCAUCCGAUGGCUGCAUCUAUUUCUAUGACUAUAAAUCCUCAAGGUUUCUGAGGAAGAUUGAAGCCUUCAAAGAAGCGUGCACUUGUGUUGCAUACCACCCUGUACUCCCUAAUGUGAUCGCUGCAUGUGGCUGGACUGGUGAAAUAUCUGUUUUCGAAUGA
This 1044-nucleotide ribosomal RNA is filed under the name Triticum aestivum (bread wheat). RNAcentral's name for it is "partial small subunit ribosomal RNA". The record is from RNAcentral. Lineage: Eukaryota; Viridiplantae; Streptophyta; Magnoliopsida; Poales; Poaceae.